Molecule: ribosomal RNA, 404 nt
Filed under: Actinomycetes bacterium
Lineage: Bacteria; Bacillati; Actinomycetota; Actinomycetes
Description: Actinobacteria bacterium partial 16S ribosomal RNA
Rfam family: Bacterial small subunit ribosomal RNA
Source: RNAcentral
UGGGGAAUAUUGGACAAUGGGCGCAAGCCUGAUCCAGCCAUGCCGCGUGAGUGAUGAAGGCCCUAGGGUUGUAAAGCUCUUUCACCGGUGAAGAUAAUGACGGUAACCGGAGAAGAAGCCCCGGCUAACUUCGUGCCAGCAGCCGCGGUAAUACGAAGGGGGCUAGCGUUGUUCGGAUUUACUGGGCGUAAAGCGCACGUAGGCGGACUAUUAAGUCAGGGGUGAAAUCCCGGGGCUCAACCCCGGAACUGCCUUUGAUACUGGUAGUCUUGAGUUCGAGAGAGGUGAGUGGAAUUCCGAGUGUAGAGGUGAAAUUCGUAGAUAUUCGGAGGAACACCAGUGGCGAAGGCGGCUCACUGGCUCGAUACUGACGCUGAUGUGCGAAAGCGUGGGGAGCAAACAGG